GAUCCUGGCUCAGGAUGAACGCUGGCGGCGUGCUUAACACAUGCAAGUCGAACGAAGCGCUUGAGAUUGAUUCUUCGGAAGAUUUCUCUUGUGACUUAGUGGCGGACGGGUGAGUAACGCGUGGGUAACCUGCCUCACACAGGGGGAUAACAGUUGGAAAACGACUGCUAAUACCGCAUAACUCGCUAGGGCCGCAUGGUCCCGGACGGAAAAGNUUUAUACGGUGUGAAGAUGGACCCGCGUUGG
This 246-nucleotide ribosomal RNA is filed under the name uncultured bacterium. RNAcentral's name for it is "partial 16S ribosomal RNA". It matches the Rfam family "Bacterial small subunit ribosomal RNA", at positions 15 to 239 of the family's 1533-position model. The record is from RNAcentral.